This 253-nucleotide ribosomal RNA is filed under the name uncultured prokaryote. RNAcentral's name for it is "partial 16S ribosomal RNA". It matches the Rfam family "Bacterial small subunit ribosomal RNA", at positions 525 to 777 of the family's 1533-position model. The record is from RNAcentral.
ACGAGUGGUCCAAGUGUUAGUCGGAAUCACUGGGCUUAAAGGGUGCGUAGGCGGGCCAGAAAGCGUCUUGUGAAAUCCCCCGGCUCAACCGGGGAACAGCAGGGCGAACUACUGGUCUUGAGGAAGGUAGAGGCCGGCAGAACGAUCGGUGGAGCGGUGGAAUGCGUAGAGAUCGGGAAGAACAUCGGUGGCGAAAGCGCUCUACUGGACCACAACUGACACUCAGGGACGAAAGCUAGGGGAGCGAAUGGGA